GUAGUUGUGGCCGCGUGGUUAAGGCGAUGGACUUGAAAUCCAUUGGGGUCUCCCCACGCAGGUUCGAAUCCUGCCAACUAUG
RNAcentral lists this transfer RNA (82 nucleotides) under Pangasianodon gigas (Mekong giant catfish). RNAcentral describes it as "tRNA-Ser". It matches the Rfam family "tRNA". Rfam says of the family: Transfer RNA (tRNA) molecules are approximately 80 nucleotides in length. Their secondary structure includes four short double-helical elements and three loops (D, anti-codon, and T loops). The record is from RNAcentral. Lineage: Eukaryota; Metazoa; Chordata; Actinopteri; Siluriformes; Pangasiidae.